CUGUGUGGCCAAACCUCCUUGUUAAAGCCUGAUCUUGUCAGAUCUCAGAAGCUAAGCCUGGUUAGUACUUGGAUGGGAGACCUCUGGGAAUUCCAGAUACCACAGUGG
This 108-nucleotide ribosomal RNA is filed under the name Periophthalmus magnuspinnatus. Lineage: Eukaryota; Metazoa; Chordata; Actinopteri; Gobiiformes; Gobiidae. The record is from RNAcentral.